UUAACCUCGAGAGCGACGCUACUUAAACCAUCGCGAACUCGUCCAAGUUGCUUCGGCGGCGCGGCCUCCCUCACGGGGGCGCCGCAGCCCCGCCUCUCCGGAGGCUUGGGGCGCCCGCCGGAGGUACGAAACUCUGUAUUAUAGUGGCAUCUCUGAGUAAAAAACAAAUAAGUUAAAACUUUCAACAACGGAUCUCUUGGUUCUGGCAUCGAUGAAGAACGCAGCGAAAUGCGAUAAGUAAUGUGAAUUGCAGAAUUCAGUGAAUCAUCGAAUCUUUGAACGCACAUUGCGCCCGCUAGUACUCUAGCGGGCAUGCCUGUUCGAGCGUCAUUUCAACCCUCAAGCCCUGCUUGGUGUUGGGGCCCUACGGCUGCCGUAGGCCCUGAAAGGAAGUGGCGGGCUCGCUACAACUCCGAGCGUAGUAAUUCAUUAUCUCGCUAGGGACGUUGCGGCGCGCUCCUGCCGUUAAAGACCAUCUUUAACUCAAGGUUGACCUCGGAUCAGGUAGGAAUACCCGCUGAACUUAAGCAUAUCAAAAGGCCGGAAGAA
RNAcentral lists this ribosomal RNA (549 nucleotides) under fungal sp. TZ-2013. RNAcentral's name for it is "eukaryotic LSU rRNA". The stretch from base 177 to 330 matches the Rfam family "5.8S ribosomal RNA". Lineage: Eukaryota; Fungi. The record is from RNAcentral.